This 1287-nucleotide long non-coding RNA is filed under the name Mytilus galloprovincialis (Mediterranean mussel). The record is from RNAcentral. Lineage: Eukaryota; Metazoa; Mollusca; Bivalvia; Mytilida; Mytilidae.
AGCAAUUAAUGCUAGAAACUGAUAUCCGGAGGAUUCAUAUAGACUAUUACAAACAUUCAUUGGAAAAUAGUUAGCUAUUAGGAAGCACGAAGGAUCUAAAGGUCAGAACCGAUUAUGUACGGUUUGGAUAAAUACGAAUAAUUAACAGAUGUAUUUCAAUACAGAGCGAUCUUAACAGAGAAAGCGUCCUAGUACUAUUUUCAUGAAAGCGAUCUAUUUAAACUAAUGACGACCGACGAUUAUAUACGGGUUGGAUAAAUAAGAAUAAUUAACCGAGAGCGAUCUUAAAAGGGAGAGCAUCCUGGUAUUAUUUUCACGAAAGCAAUCUAUUUAAACUAAUGACAACUGUAAAAUCCACUUGUAAAGAUUUUGAUAGCUAAUCAGAGAUUAUGUUUAUGCUAAGGGUGUCAAGGCUGCUUUAUAACUACUGUUGAAUGUUAUUAAAACUUGGCUCUCCAGAGAAAUAGUUCUGAUUUGUAAACAUUUGGAAAUAAUAACAACACAUUUAUCAUUGAAUAUCUGAAUAAAACUAUAUAUGACCUCACCCGAUGAUCGUGAAACUGUCCCAAGUUGGCGUGGCUUGUAUGUUUAUUGAUAAAAUGUCAAUAAAGAUUGCGGAUGGGAACUAAUACAAAUAACAGCCAAGGACUCAUUACUUAAAUAAGUAUAAAUCCAUUACCGAUAUAAUGUUCAGGGUUAUGAGACAUUUGCUGCUUAUUACAUAUUAUACUUUUGUCAAUGAUUGGUAAUACAGAAUUUCGAUGUAACAGUAAACCAGGACUAGGAGGUUCCAAUUUAGUGUUGAUGAUCACUUAAAGUUUUAUAAAACAACAAAUGAUAUGCUUGAAGUAAUAAUCUAAGUAUGAAGAAGAAACCGAGUAUGUAAAAGUGUUAAUUUAUCCUUUCCGUCAACCAAACACGUGGUGCUACAGUUAUUGGAUAUGUUCAAGAAGAUUAUAUUAAAGGGACGUAAUAAAAUAUGACAAUUGACUAAUUCAUAUUGCAAUCACUAGUCGAGCUUUUACUUGGAAUCAUCAAUAUAUGUUGCAUAAAAAUCGACACUGCUUGCUUUGAUGUCACUUAAAGUAAGUUCAUCUGAAGAAAAAUAAUAUAAAUGUCAGAAAAAUAUAGAUAAGCAUAAAAACUCGCGGGAAAAUAUUGAAAUAUUGACAUAUCAAUCUCAUCAAAUGGUAUGCUGAAAGUUUACAGGUACUUUACUGAGAAUACUGUUUGUUCUUGAACUUACAUUUUGCAUUCAGAAACAAAGUUUUUGCAGAAAACAACUAC